This 468-nucleotide ribosomal RNA is filed under the name uncultured bacterium. RNAcentral's name for it is "partial 16S ribosomal RNA". It matches the Rfam family "Bacterial small subunit ribosomal RNA", at positions 28 to 507 of the family's 1533-position model. The record is from RNAcentral.
GAUGAACGCUGGCGGCGUGCUUAAUACAUGCCAGUCGAACGGAAAGGCCCUGCUUUUGUGGGUUGCUCGAGUGGCGAACGGGUGAGUAACACGUGAGUAACCUGCCCCUGACUUUGGGAUAACUUCAGGAAACUGGGGCUAAUACCGGAUAGGAGCUCCUGCUGCACGGUGGGGGUUGGAAAGUUUCGGCGGUUGGGGAUGGACUCGCGGCUUAUCAGCUUGUUGGUGGGGUAGUGGCUUACCAAGGCUUUGACGGGUAGCCGGCCUGAGAGGGUGACCGGCCACAUUGGGACUGAGAUACGGCCCAGACUCCUACGGGAGGCAGCAGUGGGGAAUAUUGCACAAUGGGCGGAAGCCUGAUGCAGCAACGCCGCGUGCGGGAUGACGGCCUUCGGGUUGUAAACCGCUUUCGCCUGUGACGAAGCGUGAGUGACGGUAAUGGGUAAAGAAGCACCGGCUAACUACGUG